Paracoccidioides brasiliensis is the source of this 88-nucleotide transfer RNA. It matches the Rfam family "tRNA". From Rfam's summary of the family: Transfer RNA (tRNA) molecules are approximately 80 nucleotides in length. Their secondary structure includes four short double-helical elements and three loops (D, anti-codon, and T loops). Further hydrogen bonds mediate the characteristic L-shaped molecular structure. tRNAs have two regions of fundamental functional importance: the anti-codon, which is responsible for specific mRNA codon recognition, and the 3' end, to which the tRNAs corresponding amino acid is attached (by aminoacyl-tRNA synthetases). tRNAs cope with the degeneracy of the genetic code in two manners: having more than one tRNA (with a specific anti-codon) for a particular amino acid; and 'wobble' base-pairing, i.e. permitting non-standard base-pairing at the 3rd anti-codon position. The record is from Rfam. NCBI's taxonomy places the organism in Eukaryota, Fungi, Ascomycota, Eurotiomycetes, Onygenales, Ajellomycetaceae.
GGCCGGCUGGCGUAAUGGCUAACGCAUCCGUUUCCGGUUAGCAUAUCCUGUCUGCGGAAGAUUGCAGGUUCGAGUCCUGCGUCGGUCG